This 73-nucleotide transfer RNA is filed under the name Podocoryna carnea. RNAcentral's name for it is "transfer RNA-Gly (GGC)". It matches the Rfam family "tRNA". Rfam says of the family: Transfer RNA (tRNA) molecules are approximately 80 nucleotides in length. Their secondary structure includes four short double-helical elements and three loops (D, anti-codon, and T loops). The record is from RNAcentral. Lineage: Eukaryota; Metazoa; Cnidaria; Hydrozoa; Anthoathecata; Hydractiniidae.
GCAUUGAUGGUUCAGUGGUAGAAUUCUCGCCUGCCACGCGGGAGACCGGGGUUCGAUUCCCCGUCAAUGCAAC